UGCGUAGGUGGUCUACUAAGUUGGAUGUGAAACCCCCGGGCUUAACUUGGGAACUGCAUCCAAUACUGGCGGACUAGAGUGCAGGAGAGGGAAGCGGAAUUCCUAGUGUAGCGGUGAAAUGCGUAGAUAUUAGGAGGAACACCAGUGGCGAAGGCGGCUUUCUGGACUGUAACUGACACUGAGGCACGAAAGCGUGGGGAGCAAACA
This 207-nucleotide ribosomal RNA is filed under the name uncultured bacterium. Its description in RNAcentral is "partial 16S ribosomal RNA". It matches the Rfam family "Bacterial small subunit ribosomal RNA", at positions 568 to 774 of the family's 1533-position model. The record is from RNAcentral.